Molecule: long non-coding RNA, 2649 nt
Organism: Strigops habroptila (Kakapo)
Lineage: Eukaryota; Metazoa; Chordata; Aves; Psittaciformes; Psittacidae
Source: Ensembl
GGCCGUUCCCCAGAAGGCGAAGCGGGGUGAGGUGGUGCUCCGCGCGCCCCAGCCGGGCCGGCGCAGGUGGAGCGAGCGGCUCUUUAUGGUUGCGGUUGUCGCUCCUGCCCGACUCCUUCCUCCCGGCUGCGGGGCGCAGCUGCCCGGGGGCUAUGGCGGGGGUGCCCGGCGGGCGGUAGCUCGGCAGAUGCAGCACAAGAGUCAUGUGAGCUUGCCACAGCUUGCCUAAUGGAAUUGCUCAGAGUUUCGUUGCAGUAAAAGAAGAGGAGAUUUGGAACCUUCAUAGUUGGUACUGAGAGACUACCCACUCACUGUAAGUCAGUCUUCCUUAUAUCGUGGAUGUGGUGCCCUCCCUGUAGGAAAGUAGAAGUUAAAUUGAUGUGGAGCCUGUUUCAGCCUAGAGGAAACGUAAUGAAAGAAGCUGUGCAAGAAGCUUCUUGCUAUGAAGAAUCACUCCAUUGAUAGAGAAUGGAAGAGGCCUGUAGCAUAGCUGGCAUAGAGUAAGCACUUCAGUCCCCUUUUCGGAUGAUAUAUUGUGCCUAAUUCUAUGUCUGGAAGAAUUGAAGGAUGUAGCAAGGAAAUGGAAACCUGUGGCUGUGCUAAUGUAAUCUUCUGCUGAGAUGAGGGUAAUUGUUCGAAAAUACCUUUUGAGAGAACUGGGGAAAAAUACCAUUUGUUAGAUCGUACUGUGUUUGGGUUCCCUUUAAUCCUAGGCCUCAGGGUUUCCACUGGUCACCUACCAGGUCAGGAACAGGCUCUCUCACCCACUGUACCGUUGUGGUUUGUGUCUCAUCCUGAAAUGCUCCUUAUUUUUUGGAUUGCAGCCCAAGACAGGACUUCAGCAACGUUGAGAUUGUUACCAGUGUCAUUGAAAAAUGUUCUUAUGUUGCUAGUGGAGGCAGUUUUUACCUGACUGUUCACUAAUUGUGAAGCUUGUCAUUAGGGAAAAAUUCUGUCCCAAGUUGUACUGCCAAUCAUGGCACUUCGGGUGUUUUACCUUCUCUGAUAGCAUGUAAAUGUACUCCUGAAUGCAUCCUGAAUACUUAAUGAUUUCUGGUUUUGGGGUAAGGAUGUUGAUAAUGCACUUGAGCUUCCUGGCAAACCGCUUGUGCUACAUUUUAAAAUUGGGGGUUUUGUUUCGGUAUGUUCUUGGCCUCUUCAAGUUAUAGGCAUUAAAUUAGUACUGUAGGGCACACAGGACAUGUAGGAUAUUGUAGGUCUUACAUCCCUCUAACUUACACACUUGCUUGCAGUUGUGGAAGGAAGGCUGGAUGUUCUGAACUGUGCAGUUUUUACAGGCUGUUAUUGUAUAUGAACUAAUGUUUUGAAAUUACCAGGCUUACAUGGAUCUCUUACCUGUACAGCAGAAUUUAGCACUGCUGUUCUGCACUAAUUUCCCAUUAUACUUGCAUCUGUGUUCGUGUAGGCUUUGUCACUGCUUUAAGCUUGGCGAACUCUUUUUUUGGCUAAAUCUCUCACAGUUUCUCUUGUGAGCAUGUAACAGGUAUUGCUAGCUGUAUAUUUCCCAGUAGGACUGACUUUCCUCUGGGAGGCUGGAGAUAUGUCAUGAAAACUGCAGUACGUAGCAGGAACAAGGGUUGAAUCUUUGUCAGUGUUUUCAGCUUGUACAAAUUGGAAAAUGGAAAGAUUCAGAGGAGGAGAGCAAGGAGGGGAAAAUACUUCUACUUAGCUCUACUCUGCUCUUGUGAGACCCCACUGGGAGUGCUAUAUGCAGUUCUGGUGUCCUCAACAUAAGAAGGACAUGGAGCUGUUGGAGCAAGUCCAGAGGAGGGCCACGAGGAUGAUCAAGGGGCUGGAGCACCUCCUGUAUGAAGAUAGGUGCUUCAAGAUCAAGGCUGAGAGAGUUGGGGCUGUUCAGCCUGGAGAAGAGAAGGCUGUGUGGAGAGCUCAUAGCAGCCUUCCAGUAUCUGAAGGGGGCCUACAAGGUUGCUGGCGAGGGACUCUUCAUCAGGGACUGUAGCGAUAGGACAAGGGGGAGUGGGUUUAAGCUUAAACAGGGGAAGUUUGGGUUAGGUAUAAGGAAGAAGUUCUUUAUUAUGAUGGCGGUGAGGACUGGAACAGGUUGCCCAGACAAGCUGUGGCUGUCCCAUCCCUGGCAGUGUUCAAGGCCAGGUUGGAUGAAGUCUUGGGUGGCAUGGAUUAGUGUGGGUGGGGACAGCCCAUGGCAGGGGGGUUGGAACUGGACGAUCUUAAGGUCCUUUCCAAACCUAACUAUUAUAUGAUUCUAUAUACAUAACAUAACUGUGUUGCUCUGUUCCAUUCCAUUCUCUUCUGUUCUAUUCCAUUCUAUUUCGUUCCAUGCCCUGCACUCACAGGGAAUGUGAUUCCCAUGAGUAUCAUGGGAAUCAUGAUACUCAUGGGUUGUGCCAUGAUGAGACCAUUAUUUACCUGAAAUGCCAAGGGGUUUUCAGCACCAAAAACACUUUCAAAGACACAGAUCAGGUGGAAAGGAUAUUUUAUUUAUUGAUAAAUAAAGCUGUUGUAUUUAUCUCAGUUUAGCUUAGUUAAUUUUAGUUUAGUUUAGAUUUUCUUUCUCUAAAUCUUGCAGAGCUGAUGCUCACAAGCAUUAACUCGAUGCACACGUGUAGCCAGCAGCAGGCUGAUGCAUCCUUCAGUUUUGCUUGAAAA